RNAcentral lists this ribosomal RNA (465 nucleotides) under Vreelandella stevensii. Its description in RNAcentral is "partial 16S ribosomal RNA". It matches the Rfam family "Bacterial small subunit ribosomal RNA", at positions 338 to 795 of the family's 1533-position model. The record is from RNAcentral. Lineage: Bacteria; Pseudomonadati; Pseudomonadota; Gammaproteobacteria; Oceanospirillales; Halomonadaceae.
CCUACGGGAGGCUGCAGUGGGGAAUAUUGGACAAUGGGCGAAAGCCUGAUCCAGCCAUGCCGCGUGUGUGAAGAAGGCCUUCGGGUUGUAAAGCACUUUCAGUGGGGAAGAAAGCCUUGGGGCUAAUACCCUCGAGGAAGGACAUCACCCACAGAAGAAGCACCGGCUAACUCCGUGCCAGCAGCCGCGGUAAUACGGAGGGUGCGAGCGUUAAUCGGAAUUACUGGGCGUAAAGCGCGCGUAGGCGGUCUGAUAAGCCGGUUGUGAAAGCCCCGGGCUCAACCUGGGAACGGCAUCCAGAACUGUCAGGCUAGAGUGCAGGAGAGGAAGGUAGAAUUCCCGGUGUAGCGGUGAAAUGCGUAGAGAUCGGGAGGAAUACCAGUGGCGAAGGCGGCCUUCUGGACUGACACUGACGCUGAGGUGCGAAGGCGUGGGUAGCAAACAGGAUUAGAUACCCCGGUAGUC